UUUAUUAGUAUUAGGAUAUGAUUAGAACAUUAGAUUCCAUUGGCCGUACGAAUCGCUGCAACGAUCUGCGUGCCUGGGCGUUGCGACGUGGUCAUUAUAAGUGUUAAUGUUGAAAAAUUCUAAAUUGCAUGGUAAGCACGCAUAGCCUUUCAAAUUGUGAAUGGUAUUAUGGCCUCUAGUUUCCAAGUGCUUGUUAUAUUCACCACGUUUAUUUGUCGUGAAGUUGCAUGCUACGCAUCGAAAUCCACCGAUCGUUUUUUUGUUUUUACAAAAAGGAACAUGAAUAUCAUAUAUCUUCUGAUUGUACGUGUGGAACACACAAUGCGGGCAUGUUUUUAGAAUAAUUGGUCCACUACAGCCUUCUUCGUGCGUGUUAGCAUUAUGAUCAGAAGAGAAUCUAGCACCACACAGCUUGGAGCAAGAGAAAGGUUUCUCACCUGUGUGGGAUCGAAUGUGAACAAUUAAGGCGUUUGCACAUUGGCAAAUUUUGUUACAAUAUGGACAUUCGUUAUUGCGACCUGUAGUAGUUGGUGGACUGCAUACCAUUUUUGGUGAAUCUGUGACUGCUGGAUAAGCAGUUGUUGCAAUUCGGUUUGAACAUUUGAUAUUAAUAUGAUCGCUGAGUGCCAUAUUUGCAGUAUACAGAGGUUCAGCAGUCUGAUUAAACUGUUGCAUUGUCUUGGAAAUGAAAACAUAGUCUAGUCUGGAUGUUGUUAUUCCGUCAAUGUAACGAGAAUAAGCAUGCCGUGUAUAAAUAUUUUCAGGCCACAGCUUCUGCAUUACAUUCAUAAAUCCAUGCUUUUUAAAUGUGUGCUCCAAUUGGUCAUACAUUAAAGACCGUCCAUCAGGUUUACCCGAUGUCAGUUUCUGCAUAUUAAAAUCACCCAGCCAAAUGACGAACUUGUCAGCAAGUUUUGCCGACAAAGCAUCAAUGACGCCCAAUUUUGUCGUUCAGCUUGGCGUCCAAGUUUCGUUGAAUUGCAUGGAAAAUAAAGGUUGAGAAAAAUAAUUUCUUCGUUAAUUAAACUACUUUUAACUUUAACCAUCAUUAAUCUCUCAGAAUUGGUCGGUGAGAUAAUAUCGGGAAAAGUUUUUGCUAUGUCAAUAUGCUCAACCUCCACAUUUUUGUAGAACAUGCAUGUACCAUAGUUCCACCAUGUUGUAUUUGUGGGAGAUGGUGUGGAGGCAUUGAAUUCACAAUUAAAACCUCGUUUUCCAAUUAAUUCCACAAACAACGAUUCUUUAGAAGGAUCUAGUUUGGUUUCCUGAAUGAAAACAAGAUCACUACUAAUCCAGAAAGGUAGCAUAGAUUCAACUUUAACUUUAUUCAAACCAUCACAAUUCCAAAAAUUGUAAUUCAAUGAAUUAGUAUUGUCAACAUUUGACAUUUUCAUUUUUUUUAACAUUUUGAGGUCACAAAGUCCCACACUUUACCGCACAAAGCAGUUAGGUUUUAAACCGAACAAAGCAGUUAGGUUUCAAACCGCACAAAGCAGUUAGGUUUCAAACCGCACAAAGCGACUUUAUUAAAGAGUAACAAUAAAUCAAAUAAUUAUUUAAAUCCACACUAAACAACACAGCAACGAAAUCGACGAUGACGCGGACGUAUCCGUUGAAAACAGGAUUUCUGCAAUUCCAUAAAAAAUAUCAGAUGGAUAGAUUAUUAUUCAUUUCUGCUAACCUAGCUUUAUGUUUAGCACGAGUCAUGGCAUAUGUAACCGUCAGUCUUCCUGACACUCGAUAACUCUCAUAAAACUUAUCCGAUCGGGUUGAAAUUUUUACCAAAACUAUAUAGGGUGAAAGUUAAGAUCAAGGAAGAUGGACUAAAUCGGUGCAGUGGUUAACCGGUGUGUUUCUUUACCCCAAAGGGAAACCCUUUGGUUUUCAUCUUUGGUGCAGGAUAUUCGAUGAAUUUAUUUCGAUGAAAUUUGCUGUAAAAUGUUUAAAUCUGGCGCUAAAUUGCUUCUAAUAGAAGAUUGUGUGAUUGAAGUCACAUUGGAAACAUUCUCGGGAUCGAUUUUUUAUUAUUCUUAGAUCGAGCUGAAAUUAUGUAUGAGGGUUUGUAAGUACUUCUGGGAAGUCAAAUUAGAAUUAAAUUUCAUCAUUUGGAUGAUGAAAUGAAAAAUGAUUUCAUCAUUUUUUUCAUCAUCAUCCAAGAGGAUUACCCAUAUCGAUUUCUAAAAUUUGUCGUUUUAAGUUUUGUAUAGUAGAUAAAAAUUACUAUUGGGUGACAUUAUGUAAGCAGAUUGCUAAAAUAUUGCCAUUUACAAUCACAAAUGGAGUGCCCCCACUUCACAUUGGGGCCAAAACAUAAAAUUCUCGCCACAUUCAAUUUUACAAACAACCUCCAAUCCCAGUGUAGUGUGAUGUGUCCAAAAAUUAAGCAAUUAAUUCUGUGAAAUGUAUUAUUACCUUCGAUAAACAUUUAACACAACCAAAAAUGCGAAAAAACGAAGAAAAGCGACGACAUCGCGGAUGCACUCGUUGAUCUGCAAAUCAAAAAUUAAAAUCAGAUGGUUGGAUUAAUUAAUCUUGCUAACCUAGCUUCAUUUUAAUUGUACUCAACUAAUAAUUCAGUAAAAUGUACGAUUGAAGGAAAUCUAUCGUUUACCUUCGAUAAACGUCGGAAAACAAUUCGAAAAAACGAAGAAAACUGACGACGACGCGGGCGCACUUGUCGAAAAACGGGCUUGCUGUAAAAUUAAUUAGCUAUAACUUUGCUAACCUAGCUUUAAUACUUUUACUUGCCGAAUGUAUGUGAAUUUGACUUACAUCAGAUGGCAAAACCAAUAAACUUUGGCGAUGAUGGGAAGAAUCUUUGGCGAAUGUUUUGCGAUACUGCAACAAUACACGAAAAAUAAUAAUUGAUUGAUUGACAAGACCUUCAUAAUGAUCAUUAUGAAGGUCUUGUCAAUUGAUAGAUUGUCUAUUACCGAAUAUAUCUUUAGAGAGCGAAAAAACAUCAACCCUGUACAUCUAAAAGUAAUAGAGUUAGUGAGAGAGUAGUGAUGGUGGCGGAUUUCCAAUAAACGUUUCGCUGCCAGCUCACUCACUUCUGAACGAGUGUACAGGGUAGAUGUUUUUUCGCUCUCUGAAGAUAAAUUCGGUAAUCUCUAUUUAAUUAUCAAUCUAUCAAUUGGAAAGCCAUUAAUAAUAACUUUUUUCGUGUAUUGUUCACAUAAACAGUAUCGCAGAACAUUCGUCCCAUUAUCGCCAAAGUUAAUUGGUUUUAUCCUGUUACCUGUGAACGCCGUCCUCGGUUUUCUUCGUUUUUUCGCAAUUUUAGUGGUUGAUCCUCAAAGAUGGAAUACAUGGAAUUGUCUUACAAGGGACACCCUGACGGCCUGCGUCGUGCAAUCCUUGGGGAUAUAGGAGGG
This is a long non-coding RNA of Folsomia candida, 3377 nucleotides long. RefSeq lists it as uncharacterized. NCBI's taxonomy places the organism in Eukaryota, Metazoa, Arthropoda, Collembola, Entomobryomorpha, Isotomidae. The transcript is spliced from 3 exons. The record is from RefSeq and is a predicted model, not a curated record.